Molecule: long non-coding RNA, 1514 nt
Filed under: Phaseolus vulgaris (common bean)
Lineage: Eukaryota; Viridiplantae; Streptophyta; Magnoliopsida; Fabales; Fabaceae
Description: long non-coding RNA (PVUL_LNC002383)
Source: RNAcentral
AUGUUAUUUGAUUGCUUUUGAGCUGGCUUGGCUGGAGUUUCUUUUGGAAGGUCCUUGGAUGUUUUUAUUGCGUCACCCUCCUUGGUGGCUUGAACCUCAGUUUUCAAAGGCUCCACAGCUUGUUCUUUUUCUAAGUUAUCCACUCCAGGUUCAACAGAUUCCUCUUCUUUUUCUUCAAAUUUGGAUGCCAAUGUUUCUCUAACAGGUUCACUUACAGCUCUAGAGAUUUCUUCCACCUUUGUGUCACUGUUCCGUUCCUUCUUGUCAUCAACUACCGAGAUAUCAUCACCUUUUACGUUCUCUACCAUCACACUCUCUGCUACUUCAGUUGUUGCUGUUUUUGUCUCAUUCUGUUCCUCAACUUUUCUGCUUCCAGCCUCUUCCUCUGCUGAAGAUCCAGUGACAGCCUUGGGUGCUUCAGGUUCCUUUUUGUCAUCAUCAUUUGCGGCAACAUCAACCUUUUCCUCCACAAAAUCUUCUUUUAAGUUAGGUUUAGCUCCCUGAUCAAUGGAGGCUGGUUCUGGAAUUUGUAUGAUGCUAUCCACUUGAUUUGGUACCCCUUCAAUCACAUCAGUAGUGAUUGAUUCUUUUUUGUCGUCCUCUUCGACAACCUUUUCUGCUACUUCAGGAGAAGGUUCCACAAUAUUUGCUUGAGGUUCUUCAUUUGAUGAAACUUGUGCAGCAUUUUCAGUGUGGCUAGUUUCCUCCUCUUUGUCAGUUUUCACAAUAUUUGCUUGAGGUUCUUUAUUGUCAUCCUCUUCAACAACCUUUUCUGCUACUACCGGAGAAGGUUCCACAAUAUUUGCUUGAGGUUCUUCAUUUGGUGAAACUGGUGCAGCAUUUUCAGUGUGGAUAGUUUCCUCCUCUUUGUCAGUUUUCUCUUCCUUGAUCGUGUCAUCUGAAGUCCCUUCGCUCUUGGAGAUCUCAAGCACAACUUCAGGAGAAGGUUCCACAAGAUUUGCUAGAGGUUCCUCAUGUGAUGAGACUUGUGCUGCAUCUCUAGUGAGGCUAGCUUCCUCCUCUUUGUCAGUUUUCUCUUCCUUGACCGUGUCAUCUGAAGUUCCUUCACUCUUAGAAGCCUCAAGCACCACUUCAAGAGAAGGUUCCGCAAGAUUUGAUUGAGGUUCCUCAUUUGAUAAAACUUGCGCAGCAUUUACAGUGAGGCUAGUUUCCUCCUCUUUAUCAGUUUUCUCUUCCUUGAUCAGGUCAUCUGAAGUUCCUUCAGUCUUGGCAGUCUCAAUCACAAUUUCUCGCUUAUUCUCCACGUCCUUACAAGCUUCCGCACCUUCCUCAUCUACUUGUAGCUGUUCUCUUGGCUUUUCCUCCAUUUCAAUUGACUGAGGUUCUGGUUUCUCUAUUUUUUCAGGAACUGCGUCUGAGUUGCCAGUGUCUUUCACCUUCUCAGUACUGCUUUGUUGCUCUGCACUUUCAGCUUCUGCUUCGGGAACAGCUGUCUUAAGCUGCUCUUCUUCCUCUUGUUUUCCUGAUUCACUUUGGCUUUCAUCAACUUUCGC